AGUGAACGCUGGCGGUAGGCCUAACACAUGCAAGUCGAACGGCAGCACAGGAGAGCUUGCUCUCUGGGUGGUGAGUGGCGGACGGGUGAGGAAUACAUCGGAAUCUGCCCAGUCGUGGGGGAUAACGUAGGGAAACUUACGCUAAUACCGCAUACGACCUUCGGGUGAAAGAGGGGGAUCGCAAGACCUCUCGCGAUUGGAUGAGCCGAUGUCGGAUUAGCUAGUUGGCGGGGUAAUGGCCCACCAAGGCGACGAUCCGUAGCUGGUCUGAGAGGAUGAUCAGCCACACUGGAACUGAGACACGGUCCAGACUCCUACGGGAGGCAGCAGUGGGGAAUAUUGGACAAUGGGCGCAAGCCUGAUCCAGCCAUACCGCGUGGGUGAAGAAGGCCUUCGGGUUGUAAAGCCCUUUUGUUGGGAAAGAAAUCUUUCAGGCUAAUACCCUGGGAGGAUGACGGUACCCAAAGAAUAAGCACCGGCUAACUUCGUG
Molecule: ribosomal RNA, 490 nt
Filed under: uncultured bacterium
Lineage: Bacteria
Description: partial 16S ribosomal RNA
Rfam family: Bacterial small subunit ribosomal RNA
Source: RNAcentral